CGGAACACGUACGCAACCUCCUCAGAGCGGGGAAGUAGCCUCUCGAAAGAGAGAUUAAUACCCACUAGUAUCUUGAAGACACAUGUCUAUGAGAUUAAAGACUUCGGCACUUUGUAGAUGGGCGUGCGGCGUGAUUAGGUAGUUGGUAGGUAACGGCCUACCAAGCCGACGAUCAGUAGCUGAUGUGAGAGCAUGAUCAGCCACACGGGCACUGAGACACGGGCCCGACUCCUACGGGAGGCAGCAGUGAGGAAUAUUGGUCAAUGGAGGAAACUCUGAACCAGCCAUGCCGCGUGGAGGAUGAAGGUCCUCUGGAUUGUAAACUCCUUUAUAAAGAAGAAACCCCAUUUUCUAAAUGGGUUGACGGUACUUUAUGAAUAAGCACCGGCUAACUCCGUG
RNAcentral lists this ribosomal RNA (399 nucleotides) under uncultured bacterium. RNAcentral's name for it is "bacterial SSU rRNA". It matches the Rfam family "Bacterial small subunit ribosomal RNA", at positions 109 to 507 of the family's 1533-position model. The record is from RNAcentral.